UUUAUCUAUCGGGUGAUAGAAUUACCCAGAUCGAGACCUUCUACACAUUCUCCAUUCCAUUGCUACAACUCAAACCCUCGCCUUCCAUUCCAUUGGCAACAACUCAAACUUUCAUUUGCUGUCACACUUAUAGCUCCUGCCUCACACAGAGCUCUUUGCCUUCGCAUUACUUAUUGAAAAGGAGAUUUUGGGCUUUCUAAUCAAGCAACAGAAAGGUUUACUAUCUAUAAAGAUAUUAAUUCAAAGGAAGGUUCAAAGAGGAUUUUGCUUGCUUCAAGGUUGCUUGGAUAAAGAAGCUUGUGUGGGCAAGCUAGAGAGCCAAUAUUUGGUGGCUUCACUACCCGGAUUAGAGGUGAAAUUUUGAUUCUGCUCCUAUUUGGGUAAGUUUCUCCAUAA
Hevea brasiliensis (rubber tree) is the source of this 396-nucleotide long non-coding RNA. RefSeq lists it as uncharacterized. The record is from RefSeq and is a predicted model, not a curated record. Lineage: Eukaryota; Viridiplantae; Streptophyta; Magnoliopsida; Malpighiales; Euphorbiaceae. The transcript is spliced from 3 exons.